UAGGGAAUUUUCGGCAAUGGGCGAAAGCCUGACCGAGCAACGCCGCGUGAGUGAAGAAGGCCUUCGGGUUGUAAAGUUCUGUUGUAAAGGAAGAACGGCCUGGAUAGGAUCUAGGAGUGACGGUACUUUACCAGAAAGCCACGGCUAACUACGUG
RNAcentral lists this ribosomal RNA (155 nucleotides) under uncultured bacterium. RNAcentral describes it as "partial 16S ribosomal RNA". It matches the Rfam family "Bacterial small subunit ribosomal RNA", at positions 355 to 507 of the family's 1533-position model. The record is from RNAcentral.